AGAGUAUAUGGCGGAUGCCUUGACAUAAGAAGACGAUGAAGGACGUAGCAGCCUGCGAUAAGCUGCGGUGAGGUGGCAAGCAACCUUUGACCCGCAGAUCUCCGAAUGGGGAAACCCCCUCUUUUGAAGAAAGAGGAAGCUUGACCUUUGAGGCAAGCUGGAAGACCCGGUGAACUGAAACAUCUUAGUAACCGGAGGAAAAGAAAAUAAUAAUCAUUCCCUGAGUAGUGGCGAGCGAAAGGGGAGGAGUCUAAACCGAUAUAACUGCGUAGUUGGUCUAGUUCGCUAGAUUGACUACAGAAGGUUCUGGAACCAGAUGUUUUAUCGGUGUUGCAAGACCUAGCGCCCGUUGCCAGAUCAACGAGGCGAAGUAAAAAAAGACAAUUUCUAAUUGAAGGAGCUGGAAAGCUCGGCCAGAGACGGUGAUAGCCCGGUAAGUGAAAGGAAUUGACUCUUCGUGGCUAGUGUUCUUAAGUAGGGCGGGACUCGUGAAAUCCCGUUUGAAGCCAGGUCGACUAUGACCUAAGACUAAAUACUUCUUAUGAUCGAUAGAGAACAAGUACCGUGAGGGAAAGGUGAAAAGCAUCCCGUUUAGGGAGGUGAAAUAGUACCUGAAACCAUAUAUUUACAAAGAGUCGGAGCCUCGCAAGGGGCGACGGCGUGCCUAUUGAAGAAUGAGCCAAUGAGUUUGUUCUACGUGGCUGGCAUAAUCUCCUUUGGAGAGCAUGCAGAGUGAAAGCGAGGGUUAACAGCCCGUUUGUGUAUCACUCGCGUUGUACAUGAGCAUAAAAGUUCACGUAACGCGAGUGAUACAUUUGUCGCGUGGACAAGACCCGAAGCCGGGUGAUCUAACCAUGAGCAGGUUGAACUUCAUCGAAAGAUGAAGGGAGGACCGAACCCGUUAGUUGUGCAACACUAUGGGAUGACUUGUGGUUAGCGCAGAAAUUGCAAUCGAACUCGGCAAUAGCUGGUUCUCCUCGAAAUAGCUUUAGGGCUAGCGUCGGAUGUUUAUCUCAGGGGGUAGAGCACUGGAUGAGGGCGGGUCGCAAGAUACCGUCUUCAAUCAAACUCCGAAUACUUGGGAAUAUAAUCCGGCAGUCAGACUACGAGCGCUAAGGUCCGUUAGUCAAAAGGGAAACAGCCCAGAUCGUAAUCUAAGGUCCCAAAAUUUAUGCUAAGUGUGAAAGGUGGUGUUGUGACUACGACAGUUAGGAGGUUGGCUUAGAAGCAGCCAUCCUUUAAAGAUAGCGUAAUAGCUCACUAAUCAAGUUGUUUCGCGCCGAAAAUUUAUCGGGGCUAAGCAUAGUACCGAAGAUACGAACUUUCUAAUUAAUUUUAGAAAGUGGUAGAGGAGCAUUCUCUUCAGCGUUGAAGUCGUGUUGUGAGACAUGGUGGAGCGAAGAGAAGGGAGAAUGUUGGCAUGAGUAGCAAAAAGGUGGGUGAAAACCCCGCCCAUCGAAAAUCUAAGGUUUCCUGGGCAACGAAAAUCAACCCAGGGUUAGUCGAUCCUAAGGUCUAUCCCGUGUAGUGCGGGAGCAGCCGAUGGAUGAGCUGGUUAAUAUUCCAGCACUACUGUUGUUUUCCGAAGGAGGGACGCAACUUUCAGGUCUAAGCGUGCUAUGGUAUGUACGUUUUUUGCUCCAAGAAAUGGUCUAGGCAAAUCCGGACCAAUAAUUUCAAGGGGUUGAAAAGAGAUAAAGCCGCAAGGUGGAAUCAAUUUAGGCGGAUGAGUUGACUAGAAAAACUUCUAGGGCCAAGGCAACAGUAAUCGUACCGUAAACCGACACAGGUAGAUGAGGCGAGAAGCCUAAGAUGUACGAGAGAAACUUCGUUAAGGAACUCGGCAAAACAGCGGCCGUAAUUUAGAGAUAAGGCCUGCCCCAGCAAUGGGGCCGCAGCUAAAGAGCCCAAGGGACUGUUUAUCAAAAACACAGCUCUCUGCUAACUCGCAAGAGGAUGUAUAGGGGGUGAAGCCUGGCCAGUAUUCGAACGUUAAGAGGAGGGGUCAACCGCAAGGUGAAGCCUUGAAUCCAAGCGCGAAUGAACGCCGGCGAUAACUAUAAUCGUCCUAAGGUAGCGAAAUUCCUUGUCGGGUAAGUUCCGACCUGCACGAAUGGCUUAACCACUUGGGCACUGUCUCAACGAAGUACUCGGUGAAAUUGCAAUACGAGUAAAGAUGCUCGUUAACCACAGUUGGACGAGAAGACCCCGUGAAGCUUUACUACAACUUGAUAUUGAAUUAGGGAUACGCUUGUUCAGAAUAGGUGGGAGCCUUCGGGCGCCAGUGAGAUACCACCCUUGUUUAUUUUUAAUUCUUACCCGAAAAUUUCGGGGACAGUGUCUGGUGGGUAGUUUGUCUGGGGCGGAUGCCUCCCAAAAGGUAACGGAGGCGUUUACAAAGGUCAGCUAUCCCGGAAUGGAAACCCGGGAGAUAGUGUAAAGGCAUAAGCUGGCUUUACUGCGAGACUUGACGGUCAAGCAGUCGCGAAAGCGGAACUUAGUGAUCCGACCAUUCAAUAUAGGAUGGUGGAAGCUCAUCGGAUAAAAGCUACUCCGGGGAUAACAGGCUAGUCAGGUCCAAGAGUCCACAUCGACGACCUGGUUCGGCACCUCGAUGUCGGCUCGUCGCAUCCUGGGGGUGGAGAAGCUCCCAAGGGUUGGGCUGUUCGCCCAUUAAAGCGGCACGCGAGCUGGGUUCAGACCGUUUAGCGGCUAAUUAAUUUAUUGGCCCUUAAACGCUCUGAAUCCACGAGGUAAAACGACAUAAAUUACGGCGGCAAUAUUGAGUAAUCAAUAUUUGGCAAAAAAGCUGACUCAUAUCGGUGAAGUCCUAGCAAAA
RNAcentral lists this ribosomal RNA (2839 nucleotides) under biogas fermenter metagenome. RNAcentral's name for it is "bacterial LSU rRNA". It matches the Rfam family "Bacterial large subunit ribosomal RNA". The record is from RNAcentral.